UCGGAUAUGGUGUAACGGCUAACAUUGCCGCCUCUCACUGUGGGGGAUACGCGGCAGCUCGGGGUUCGAUUCCCCGUAUCCGAG
Molecule: transfer RNA, 84 nt
Filed under: Pisolithus tinctorius
Lineage: Eukaryota; Fungi; Basidiomycota; Agaricomycetes; Boletales; Pisolithaceae
Also listed under: 2 other names
Description: tRNA-Glu
Rfam family: tRNA
About the family: Transfer RNA (tRNA) molecules are approximately 80 nucleotides in length. Their secondary structure includes four short double-helical elements and three loops (D, anti-codon, and T loops). Further hydrogen bonds mediate the characteristic L-shaped molecular structure. tRNAs have two regions of fundamental functional importance: the anti-codon, which is responsible for specific mRNA codon recognition, and the 3' end, to which the tRNAs corresponding amino acid is attached (by aminoacyl-tRNA synthetases). tRNAs cope with the degeneracy of the genetic code in two manners: having more than one tRNA (with a specific anti-codon) for a particular amino acid; and 'wobble' base-pairing, i.e. permitting non-standard base-pairing at the 3rd anti-codon position.
Source: RNAcentral